This is a long non-coding RNA of Mercenaria mercenaria, 565 nucleotides long. RefSeq lists it as uncharacterized. The record is from RefSeq and is a predicted model, not a curated record. Lineage: Eukaryota; Metazoa; Mollusca; Bivalvia; Venerida; Veneridae. The transcript is spliced from 5 exons.
UUUUAUGUGUGCACUGGUACAGUUUAGCGGGGAAGCGAAAGUUGCCAUGGAAUUUUAUCUUCUUCUAAAAACAAGUGUCUGAUACAUGUAGUUGCAGUCUGUCUUUGGAAGCUGUAGAAAUAACAAGAAAGAGGCUGACAUAGUGUUUUUGUAGGGAAAAGUUUGAGUAUGUACAUGUACAGUUGUUUGACCUGUCUUACCCUGUGGCAGUCCAAGAAGAUGUUACCAUUAUGAAAAAUGCAGGAGAACUUGAAGACAAUGGUUAGUGCAGAAGGGACAUAAAAGUUAUGACAAAAGUAACAGAUAUAAAUAAGAAGUGCUACAAGUGUGUUGUCAUGUGAAAUGGAAUUUACCCCAACUGUGCUGCAAGAUGUAUAUUCAAGUGCAAGACAGCCAUGCACCAGCUGUAAACUGAGAUGGACCCAUAUAAUAAAUAUGUUGACUUUCUAUUAUUUAUCAUCUGUACAGAAUGUGUUCAUGACAAGACUGUAUACAUAUAUUGUUAAAUCAUUUUUUAUUUCCAUUAUUGCAUGCAUGUAAGAAGCAAGCAUUUAACAAUUGCAUU